Molecule: microRNA precursor, 57 nt
Filed under: Columba livia (rock pigeon)
Lineage: Eukaryota; Metazoa; Chordata; Aves; Columbiformes; Columbidae
Description: Cli-Mir-34-P3c_pre stem-loop
Source: RNAcentral
UGGCAGUGUGUGUUAGCUGGUUGAAAUUCUGACAUCAGCUAACAUGCAGUUGCUAUC